ACGGGAGGCAGCAGUGGGGAAUAUUGCACAAUGGGGGAAACCCUGAUGCAGCGACGCCGCGUGAGUGAAGAAGUUAUUCGUAAUGUAAAGCUCUAUCAGCAGGGAAGAUAAUGACGGUACCUGACUAAGAAGCACCGGCUAAAUACGUGCCAGCAGCCGCGGUAAUACGUAUGGUGCAAGCGUUAUCCGGAUUUACUGGGUGUAAAGGGAGCGUAGACGGCAUGGCAAGCCAGAUGUGAAAGGUGGGGGCUCAACCCCCAAGCUGCAUUUGGAACUGUCAAGCUAGAGUAUCGGAGAGGUAAGUGGAAUUCCUAGUGUAGCGGUGAAAUGCGUAGAUAUUAGGAGGAACACCAGUGGCGAAGGCGGCUUGCUGGACGAUAACUGACGUUGAGGCUCGAAAGCGUGGGGAGCAAACAGGAUUAGAUACCCUGGUA
Molecule: ribosomal RNA, 434 nt
Filed under: uncultured Lachnospiraceae bacterium
Lineage: Bacteria; Bacillati; Bacillota; Clostridia; Lachnospirales; Lachnospiraceae
Description: bacterial SSU rRNA
Rfam family: Bacterial small subunit ribosomal RNA
Source: RNAcentral